CUUUGCUGUAUGUUUGGAUUUUGGAAAAAUAGUGUUUCUUCUGGAAAAUCCUGAGACGGAUAUUGCCAGAGCUUCAGCGAGAUAAUGGAUGAAAAACGUGAACUGCCAUGUUCUCCACUCAUGUGAUGCUUCGUUCUCUUGUCUCACCUACCCCAGAGCCCAUGCUUCUUCCUGAGAUCCUGGUCAAGUCAUUAUCCAUCACACCAGACUGGUGCAAUAUCACCCUGGAGUGCAGGGACCCAGGGAACAGAGAGGACCUGGAGGUGACCUGGGAGAGUGAGGGUCUUCCCAGGGAGCUGGAGUGGAGUGGGACACCAGGACCAGCCCCCAGCUCCUGGAGCCUGCAUGUGAACUUGUUCCUGAGCCAGCCCAAUGCCAGCCUCACCUGUGUGGUCAACAACCAUGUGGACAAGAAAAUUGCCACUGUAGACUUUGGGAAAGUCUGUUUCCCUGGUUCACAAGAACAGACCAUUGCUGGUCUCCUGGAAGGCAUCCUAUGGGCCGUCGUGGUUGUGCUAUUCUUCCUGGGAACUGGACUGUACUUUUGGAAGACAUAUAAGAAGGAAAGGAACACAGAGAAUGGAAGAGGAGCAGCAUUGCAGGAGGACCACAGGAACCAAGGUGAUGGCGACUGGGCAGAGCAGAGCCAGGAAGAGUUUCAAGAAGGCAUGUACCAGGCAGAUAUGAAGUCAGCUCACUCUGCAUCUCCAGAGCCUGUCCCAUGAGUGGCUUCAGUGGACAUAGGAUGGAUGGAGCUAAACAGAAAGGAUUCUCCUUGCUGUGCAUCUGCAUCCUGGGGAAGGGACAACAGAUGCUCCCUCCAGGUAUACAACCAGUCUUGAUGUCUUUAGGAUCUUCCUCUCCAUGGACACCUCAUUGCCCUCAAAUCACUGUAAGUCAGCAUCCCAAACACGACUAGACCUCCCAAAUGAAUAAUAACCAAGGUUGUAUAGAGAGUUCAGACAGUUAACAAACAUUUUGGCAUGUGUUUGAACUUACUUGCAGUGGUAGAAAUGCAAAUGUAAUGUGUAUCAAAAACUAUAAAUUUUUCAUGACAUUUGCUUCAUUAUACCUACCUGGGAAUAAAC
Molecule: long non-coding RNA, 1088 nt
Filed under: Cervus hanglu yarkandensis (Yarkand deer)
Lineage: Eukaryota; Metazoa; Chordata; Mammalia; Artiodactyla; Cervidae
Description: lncRNA (ENSCHYG00000017675.1)
Source: RNAcentral